Molecule: long non-coding RNA, 133 nt
Organism: Selaginella moellendorffii
Lineage: Eukaryota; Viridiplantae; Streptophyta; Lycopodiopsida; Selaginellales; Selaginellaceae
Exons: 2
Source: RefSeq, a predicted model, not a curated record
GCGCCUGUAGCUCAGUGGAUAGAGCGUCUGUUUCCUAAGCAGAAGGCCACAGGUUCGACCCCUGUCUGGCGCGUGGUAUAUUUCUUCCUCUCAGCUGGAGGUACUCCCAAUCAAAAGUAUUUUCUUAAUCUCU